UAUUGCAUCAGCAUGACUUGGAUAUGAGACAUGGAGUCAAAGGAGAUCAUUUUAGAGCUUUAAGAUUUGAUUGGCCCACUGGAUUUUGAACUUGCAUAGGGCCUGUAGCCCCUUCAUUUUAGCCAAUUUCUCCCAUUUGGAAUGGGUUUAUUUACCCAAUGCCUGUACCUCCAUUGUGUCUAGGAAGUAACUAACUUGCUUUUAAUUUUACAGGCUUAUAGGCAGAAGGGACUUGCCUUGUCUGAGAUGAGACUUUGGACUGUGGACUUUUGAGUUAAUGCUGAAAUGAGAUGAGAAUUUUAGAAUAUGGGGUAGGAAGAGGAGAAGAGUGGCGUCAAUAUUAGAGCAAGUUAGUAGCAUCUGGGUAUCAACAGUGCACUGUAAUCUUACAGUUUAUGGAACUGCUUUCUUCAGCUAUGUAAGUUCAGUCCAAAUGGUUACUCUGUUUAAAUAUAUUCUCUGUAUAUUAUAAACAAUAGGUGGUUUUGGCUGGUAUUGCUCAGAGCAGGCAAAGGAGGCAUAGCCUGCCUCUUAGUAGGAAGUAGCAGGUAUUAACCUUUUUGAGCUACCUG
This 572-nucleotide long non-coding RNA is filed under the name Callithrix jacchus (white-tufted-ear marmoset). Its description in RNAcentral is "lncRNA (ENSCJAG00000085621.1)". Lineage: Eukaryota; Metazoa; Chordata; Mammalia; Primates; Cebidae. The record is from RNAcentral.